AGAGUUUGAUCCUGGCUCAGGAUUAACGCUGGCGGCGUGCCUAACACAUGCAAGUCGAACGAGGGGCAACCCCUAGUGGCAGACGGGUGAGUAACACGUGGUCAACCUACCGUUUGUGGGGAUAACCAGCCGAAAGGUUGGCUAAUACCGCAUACGUCGCGGCCGGCAUCGGCCGUUGAUAAAAGGAGCAAUUCGCAAGA
RNAcentral lists this ribosomal RNA (200 nucleotides) under uncultured bacterium. RNAcentral describes it as "partial 16S ribosomal RNA". It matches the Rfam family "Bacterial small subunit ribosomal RNA", at positions 8 to 222 of the family's 1533-position model. The record is from RNAcentral.